This is a long non-coding RNA of Camelus dromedarius (Arabian camel), 7690 nucleotides long. RefSeq lists it as uncharacterized. The record is from RefSeq and is a predicted model, not a curated record. NCBI's taxonomy places the organism in Eukaryota, Metazoa, Chordata, Mammalia, Artiodactyla, Camelidae. The transcript has 2 exons.
GGGGGUGGGAGGAGGUGGGCAUCUCUCUGCUGAUUCAGAAGCCAGCUCCUGGCAGGAAGGCUCUGAGCCCAGAAAAUCAGGGCCAGAUCAGGGCUCCAUGUGAAGAUUCCUCACCAGGAACAAAUGGGUUUCUCAUCAAGAAAGAGACAGUGUGUUCCCUCCCACUGCUGAGUGAGCACUGACUGGUCUGUGAAUCCAGUGGCUCCCAAUCUCACCUCUGCCCUUAGGAGCUCAAGGCUGCCCCACUAGGAGCCUCAGCCUCUUCACCUGGGAGGAAGCAGUUUCUGCCCAGAAGAGGAGGGACUUGGGAGUUCAUCCGAGGACCUGGGUUUGAGCCCCAACUCCAGUGCGGCAGCCUUGGGCUUGAGUCUCAUGGGGCCUCUGUUUGUGCAUAAAAUGGGGAUGACAAGACAUGCCUCUCAGGUUGCCAUGCAGGGCGUGGGAGAGCACGUAGGCCCCCUGGCUGAUGUAGGCCCCCAAGGAGGUAUUAACCUUCCAGAGCCUCAGUUUUCUCACUUAAAAACAGGCUAGGAUCGGGGCUACUGCAAGGAUCACAUGGGACCAAACGUGUGCAUGAGUGUCCAAUAGACUUGAGGAUGCAGGAACGGCUGCCUCCUCACCAUGUUCCCAGAAUCAUGGAGGCUGAACCCACUCGGUGGUUUCCCAGCUGGGUUCCAGGAGGCACCCCAGGGGCCACCGGUGGGACCCUAAGCUGGACUUGACCCCAGACAACCCUGCUUGUCCCUCUUUUACACCCAGGGUUCCACCUGGGAUUUUGUUUGAAAGAACCAGUUCUGCUGCUAAAUUCUUGGGCUUUUUUUUUUUUUCCCAAACCUUACAUUUGGAAAUAAUUUCAGAGUUCAAAAAUUUCAAGACUCAAAACAGUGCAUGAAAAGAGGUACGUCCACGUACCCUUUGUGGACUGUUAGUAUCUUAUCUCGUUUGCUUUAUCAUUUAUAUUCUGUCUCUACGCAAAUGGAAGUUUUUCAUGAAUCAUAUGAGGCUGAGUUAUAUACAUCUUGGCCCCUUACCCCUAAAUACUUCUAAGAGCAGGGACAUUCCAUCGCACAACCACAGUUAAGUCUGCUUCAUAAAUUUACAUCGGUACCAUAUUUUUCUCCAUUCCACUGUCUGUAUUGCAGGUUGUCUCUGAUCUAACAGGGUUUUUUUUUUUUUUUUUAGCAUUUCCUCCUCUAGUUCAGGAUCCAGUCAAGGGUCGGGUAUCGAAUUUAGUUGUCUCCUUUAACCUGGAACAUUGCAGCCUUUCUUUGCCUUUUAUGAAGUGGAUAUGGUAAGGAAUACAGGUUGCCCUCCCCGCCCCCAUCUUUUUCUUUAUAAUGAAAGUUCCUCAUUUUGUGUUUGUCAGAUGUUUCCUCAUGGUUAGACUGAGGUUAAGCAUUUUCAGCCAGAUCCCAAAUGACUCUUAAACUCUCUUCUGACUUUGACAUUCAGUGAUCCUAGAACCGGGUCCUCUACCUCAGGCCUUCAGCUCACCUCCCCUCGCCCGAUGCUUCCAGCGCUUCGCUACUCAAAGUGUGGUCCGCGGCCCUGCAGCCCCAUGUGGGAAGCCUGGGAGCCACGAGCAACCCCCUGGAGGGCACAGCUGCAGCUUGGGCGCUGCCUACCUCUCUACCACUGAGCCCCUCUAAGCAGAGAAUGGCCCUCCCCUCCCACCCCCACCUCCACCCACCCUGCUUCAGCCCCUCCUGUCCAAGGAGGAAGCUCCACCCUCCUGUCUCUCCUGUGGUGCGAUCCUGGCAAUAGUAACUGUGUCUUUGCAGCCUGGCUGCUGGCGGGACCUGCGGGGUUGAGAGGUUGAAGAGACCGUGGGAAAGGAUGGAACUUGGAGACACAAGGCCUGAGUUAACUGGCCAGGCCCGCUUUUCCAGAAAGGUAGCUGUUGUUAAUGCCCGUGAUGCGAGUGGGCUGGGAUUCAGAGCUAGAAUUUCCUCACUCCAAAGCCUGUGCUUCCAUCACUCUGCCAGGCCACCAGCCUGGAGACAGGUCCCAAGGGUCCCGAAUCCCGAUCACGUGCUUCCUCCACUGUGGCAGGUUUAGGGGCCUGUGUCAGGUGGAGUGGGUAGUUCACGGAGACAAAUGGCUUUGAAUAAACCUGGCCAUCCAUCCUGCAGCCAGGAGCAGACUGGGUUCCUCGUGAACUUCAGGAGACUUGGUGAGAGCAGUUAGAGUCGUCUCUCCUAUUAUUACUCUGACAAACAAGUUAUUCCCACCUCUUCAGUGUCUCAGACCAGACAUUCAGGGCUGACCCUACUGCUGGGGAGAAAUAGCUUCAAGCUCAAGAUCUCCUCCUUAAGAUGGGCGGGGGAGACAGGAAGGAGGAAUGCAGUGCAUGCAAAUGUGGGAUUCUUCCUAAAAGAAUACAAAGAAUCUUCUUUUAACUUAGAUAAAAAGCAGGCAACAUCCGAGAGGGCAGUGGAGGCCAACAGGCUGCUUUUUUCCUCUUCCUUCAAUAGUCUGUGUAGCUGGUUCAGGCAGGGACAGAGGCUGGGUGUUGGAUGGGAGGAGGGAGCUUGAGGGAGACCCCAGGGCCAUGGAACGACCCGCCUGCAACAUUGACUGAGGGUAGACAGAACAGAGAGGGAGGUCAGACUGUUGGUUUUUUUAAAUUUGUGUUAAAAAAUCUGAACUGAUUUCUAGUGACAAAAGUCACUAAUGUUUAUUGUUGAGAAAGAUGAUUAGUAUUGUGCUGGACUUCUGGCUGGUCUUUUGAAAUACAUAUAGACAAGUAGGUAAAUAGAUAAUUAGUUAAGGAAAUACUUUCUGCUGUAACAGAUAAACCCUGCUAUCUCUAACUCAAGUACAAAUUGAUUUCUCAUUCAUGUAAGUCCAACAGAAUGGAGGAGGGUUGGGGAGGGGGUAGUUGUGGCUCUGCUCCCUGUAGUCAUGCAGGGAUUCAGGCCGAGGGAGGCUUUCUGAGUCCCUUGGGCAUUGACAUACAGGUGACAGAGAGAAAGACAGAGAGAACAUAUGGGCCAUGCCUGGCAGGAAGCACCACCUUGUUUUUACGCCGCACAACAGAAAUGGGGUUUGGGACCUCUGAGAUGUGUUUGGAGGAUUAGAAGACACGUUACCCUCUCUCCUUGUAUAAUAACCACGUCUACCAUUUCUCACAUGCCAAUAACCCAGCAGGCACCAUGUUAAUUGCUUUCUGUCUGUCUUCUCCCUGAAACAUCACAACCACUCCGUAAGACGUGGACACUAUGUUAUCCCCAUUUUAUAGCCAAGGAAACUGAGGCUCUGCAAGGUUAAGCAGCACAGGCUUGAGGUCAUAUCUGAGCAGGUGAGUAGUGGUCCUUGGACUUGGAUCCAGGUCAUCCUGGACCGCUGUGCCCUCCUGCUUUUCCAGGAUGCCCUGGGGUCAGAGAUGACCUCAGAGAGGCCAGAUCCAGUCACAAUGACCUCAUACCUUUUCCAGCCAGGCUGGGACUUUUGGCUUUGGGUCUCUGAGCCCACAGCCUGAGUGGCCAACGGGCUUGUGGGCUGAGCUCUCCAAAGGGGAACCCAGGGAGCUGGAGUGAUUUCCUCAGGGAUGCGGUGACGCUCAAAGCAGAACUGAGACUUAAGCAGCAUCUGCAAAAAGCACAAACAACCAGAAAGGGCAGCUUUGGGAAGCUCGGGGGAGCGAGGCGGGCUUCACAUCUCACGGCAGCCACAAACUACAGGGAAUCUCCCUUGGCGCCAGCUCUUGUGUCUGUGCUGCUGGGAAUUCAGACCAGACAUUAGUUUUCAAACUGGUUUCAGGGAACACUCAAGGGGCUGGGGACAUCUUGCAAGGGGAAGAGGAGAGGAGGGGAAACAGCAGGCCAGCCCUGCUGUCCAACUCUGAUCAACCAGAGAAGCCAAGUUCGUACAAAAGACCCCUUAACGAAAAGGCUUCCACUGCAAAAGCACAUGUAAAACUUCCCGUUUUCAGUGGUGUCCGCCUCCUGCCAUCCUGUGUUUUUAAUCACAGAAAUUCAUUCAUUCAGCAGUUCAGCAUUUACUGACAAUACGGAUGUUAACAGGAAAGCCCAGUCCCUGUUUUUAGGAUGGUCACAAUUCAGGAGGAAGAGGAGAGCACUCAACAAGCGAGUCGUGCAGUGUGACAACUGACGUUCAUCCGUUCAUGCAGCAAGUAUACUUACCAAACACCUACCACAGGCCCCGCACUGCUGAGGUCUUGAAUAUAGACAGUGAGCAAAAGAGAGUCCCUGCCUUCCUAAAGCUUUCACUCUAGUGGGCAGAAACAGGCAAUGAACAAUUAAACAAAUAUAAAAUACAUCCUCAGACACGAAACCUGCCACUAGAAUGAAUGAAACAGCCUCAGGGGCCUGGAGAGUGCGAAGGAGUUUGCUGUUCUGGGUUGGAAGGUAGGGGAAGCCUCUCUGAAUUCAUGUUUAUUUGUUUUUCCAUUCUGCAGUGACAGGGCCAGGAAAACCCAUUUUCAGAGCAAUGAACUCAGUUGGUGGGGAGUGGGGGUCUUGGGGUAAGUCUUCCUGGAGGAAGGACAUGGCUUCAAGUGGGAAUCGUGGUGGAGGACAAGGACCCAAUGGAUCAUGAUUGGAGCCUCGGCUGCCCCAGGACUGUUGCAAUGGCCACCGCUUUCAGUCAGAGCCCAGGCAACAGCCCCACGUAACAGACUGAGUGAGUUUUAUCAUUAUCUUCAGUUUGCAGAUGGGAGCACUGAGGCUCCACGUGAGUGUCUCAGAUCACACAGCUAGGUAAGUGGUCAAGUCAGGGGCCUCCUGAUCCAGUGUCCUCACAGCCUGGGGGACCCAGGUGUGCACAUUUCAGCUUGUUUUUUAUCAGAGCUCUUCUUCUCCAAAUUCUCCCAGUUGGUGAAACAUGCAAAAUGCCCCCCAGCCACCCCUUUAAAAUGUAAUUGGCUCCCCCCAACAUCUACAGAUGGAAAACAGAUGUGACUUUGGCAAAAAGGAAAGCAGGAAUCUCCAGGAAAUGCAGACUGCAGCCCAGCAGGGCUCUCACAGGCACAGCCUGAUGGACGUGAUCUCUGAUCUAUGCAAGGCAGAUGUUCCCAUCACAGGCGAAUUAUUUUGCAGCUGCGCCCAUGCAUCUCAGUGGUGCUGCCUCAGGCCCCUGUGUGUGCAAGGCUGAGCCCUGAGCCCUGAGCCGUGGGCUCCAGCCUUCACAGGAAGGAGAAUGCAUCCCUCACCAUCCCUGGGAUAUUGCUGGGAGCCAGCACAUUUAAGUGAUGCUUAAGGUUUACAUUUGUCCACAAAUAGCUCUCAAGUCAGAGAGCCUGUGUGGGCCUUUCUCACCACAUCAGGGAAGAAGGACCCAGAUUCUAAUCCCAGCUCCACUGCUGACCAGCCUUGAGACUUGGAGCAAAUUUCUCCCAUCAAGUGAGGUUGGGCUUGGUGAAUCCAAGGCUGCUGGUGUGCUAAGUCAAUGAUGGUACUGGGAGCCCAUCGUCUGCAUCUCUUCCCCACUCCAUGUUGGUAGCUUGAAGUUGGCCACUAUGGAAAUAUAUAUGCCAUGGAAAUUAGCAAAUGCUACAAAUCAGAGCUUUUUAUGUUUUUGGGAGAGUCAGUUGCUAAGCACUCCGAGCACACCACUGUCUGAGGCCCACAGUGGAUCCUAGUAUUCUAGACCUCAGCCCCAACCCUGGGCAGGACAGAGUGGUGCCUGGUCGGGGCACAUGUGGGUCAGCUCAGCUCAGCUCUCUGUCAGUGUCCAACAUCCCAAGCCCUGUGCUGGAUACUGGGAAGGCAGUGAUGGGGCAGAGGCUCAGAGAGGUUAAGUGACUUACCCAAGCUCACCCAGCCUCCAUCACUACCUUCAUGGAGCUCACAGCCCGAGGAAAAGGGCUGGCUCUGAAACAGUCACAGGUAAGGGAGGUGGAGCAGGAACCACCCAAUUGUGGUUGAAGAUGUGGGAGGAUGAGGAGAAGUUAGUGAGGGAGAGGUUGAGAGGGCAUCCCUGGCAGAGGGAACUGUGUGUGCGAAGGAGUGAAAGUGCCCGUGGAUUCAGCCCUGAUUCAGCACAGCAGGACAUCACGUGGGAGUGUGAUGGCGGCAGAAUGUCGUUCUGAGUGGGAAGUGGUGAUUCUGAGUUCUCUCUGAUGGCAGAAGGACUCCUGGAGUCUCUGUAGAGGCGCAUCUGAGGUUUUGCUGGGAGCUCAGCAUUCACUCAUUCAUUCAUUCGUUCACCCAGCACCACCUCCUGCGCCCUCUGCAGUGCAGCGAUGUGUGUCCUGGGGAGACAGAGGGAAAGUGCUUGGAGGGACUGAUGUGGGGUCUCGAGAGUCCCCUUCAGUGAGGUGGUUGAACACACGUGGUGGGAACCAAGGAGAUGGGCCCCAGAGCCAUCUGAGGGUCGCCAAGAUUCUCCAGAAGAGCGUGGGGGAAAGAUGCAAAGGGCAAAGCACUUGCCAUCCCCACCUGGCACAGAGCCACCAUCUGGAGGGCUUCUCUCCCCACCCCCCUCUCAGUCCUCAGACCUAGGGCCACAGCUGGACCAUCCUUCUGGCUGAAAGCCACUGUCCCCUCAAGCAGGUUUUCCCAGCUUGGCACUACAGACAUUUGGGAACUGAGUAAUUCAUGUUUACAAAGGGCUGUGCUGUGCACUGUCGGGUGUUUUAACAGCAUCCCUGGCCUUGAUGCCAGUAGCAAAAGUGACUUCAAACGGCCCCUGAAGGGCAAAAUCACCCUGGUUGAGAACUACUGCUCAAAAGCAAAUUAACUUGCCUGAUCCUGUUCUUUGGUGAGUUAUUGAUACAAUACCAAGAAAAAAAUGAUGGAAUGCUUCUUGGAAGCAGAGUAAAAAUUCAGUCAGCUCUAAGCCAAGGCAUGAGUUAUAGGUGAAUUCCAAAAGGCACAGGACCGUUCCACAUCCGUGCUGCCAGACACGCCUUGUUCCCUAAUUCAUAAAUCAAAUGAAAAAUCUCCUGUGUGCCAGAAUUCUAAUAAUUAAAUUAUCAACAUGAAAAACAACUCCAAGCACAAAAUAAUAUUUCCCUAGAAACUCUUUAGUCGUGCCUCAGGCUCAUAAAGGUUUAUGGAAGGCUCUCUCUAAAACUGACUAAUUCUGUGCAGGGAGGGCACAGGAAACUUGAAACAAAUCAGAGAACCUCAGAACACAGAGCUGGAAUAAGAAAAAAGGAUGUUCUUGCUUAGUGGGCAUUUCUGUGGGGACAAUGUAGGAGCGCUCCAUGUAAAUCACUUCACAGAAUUCUCAGCAGAACCCCAUAGGGUGUCAGGCUAUAUGUGUCAGUUUAUAUCUGACUAGAAAUGCAGGCUCAGAGAGGUAAAGCAAUUAGCCCAAGGUCACACAGCUGGUAAGGGGUGCGCUAGGACUCAUAUGAGGGUCUGGCUCUGCUUUUCAGUGGUGUAUGUUACCAACCCCAUCAGCCUAUUCAUUUUACGGGUGGAAAAUGGAGGCUGCUUAGAAAGCAGAACAUAGAUGCCAAUAAUAGCUCAAUUUUCCACUGCGCUUUACCAGCACCAAAUCACUUUCACAUUCUUCUUCUCAUUUCAUCCUCUUGAAUACCCUGAAAGACCAUCAGGGCAUCUCUAAGGCCCACCUCCAAGUCCCUCCUUCCCCAAGGAAUCUAUUUCUGUCAAGAGGCUCUGAGCCCCAUGAACAUCUCCCACAAAAGCAGCAGAGAUAAGUUAUCUCUUUGAGAGAGAUUUAACAUUUAAAAAAAAAAAACAACCCUUGGGAAAGGGCA